AAAUACACUUUCUUCUCUUUCAAGCCAAAACCCCCUUUUCUUCUUUAAGAUUCCUUGAUUUAGAGCCAAAAUCAAUAGUAGAUUCAUGUUACAAUCAUAAAUUCGAGUUAGGUUUAUUUACCUCAAUGAAGUAGAUGAAAACUUUCUCACAAAUCGCCUCUUCCCGAGCUCCAAAACUUUGUGAAAAAAAUUGACUAAAUCUAGAAAUAAGUAAAACAAACAAUGCAGCAGCUUUCCCUGCCCGAAUCAGAUACUAGAUGAUCCCGAAACUCACAUUCGAUAAGCCCAACAUAAUCCUUGCGAGAUUACACCCGAGAUAGACUUUUGAAUCGCCCAAUUUGGCCUUAAAAUAAGGGAGAUGAUGUUUUGAAGUAAUAAAGGAAGUCUGAAAAUUUCAGAGGUAUAACUGGUAUUUUUGGAAUUGUUGCACCACAAAAAUCAGCAAUCGCAAAAUCUUCAUUUUAGCACCCAAAACUUAUUCAGAACCUCCCGAACAUAAAUCAUAUAUGCAUUUCAAUCAUAAAACACGCUACAAGCAUGCUCGCGCACUCAAAACCACGAAAAGAGGUCGUUUUGACCUGAUAUUGACCGUGGUCCAACUCCAAAUCCUUAACUUGACUAGUCUCUCAACCAAUGAUCCAAAACAUAAACGAGCCCCUACGGGACCCAUCCAAUUAUACCAACAAGUACAAAUACAUUAUCCAAACUUAUCCUAAGGUUAGAAUUUCUCUUAAGUUGUUAAAUCUUCAUUCAUUCAAAAGAGUGUUUGUAUAACACCUACAGACUUUAGAUUACUUCCAAACUUUGCACGCAAGUUCAAUUCAACUGUAUUGACCUAUCCAAAGUCUCGGAACAUCAAUUGGAGUCCAAUAACAUCAAGUCAACAUUUGGUCAAACUUAUGAACUCUUAAGUUCUUCAAAUUGCCAACUUUCGACAAAUCGUGUUGAAUUCUUCCAAGAACCUCCAAAACCAAAUCUUAACAUACGGACAAGUCCAAAAUCAUAAUACAAACUUAUCGGAACCAUCAAAACCCGAUUUCUUAGUCCGUUUACCCAACAGUCAAGCGUUGGUCAAUCUUCCAACUUAAAGCUUCUAAAUCGAGUAUCAUUCUUCCAAAUCAAUUCCAAACCACUCGAAAACCAAACUGACCAUACACGCAAGUCAUAAUACAUUAUAUGAAGCUACUCAAAGUCUCAAACCAUCUGUGAGAAAGCACGGGAGAAAAAUAUAUAAUUGAUAUUAAACAUGGUACAAUGAGCCCUAUA
RNAcentral lists this long non-coding RNA (1266 nucleotides) under Nicotiana benthamiana. RNAcentral's name for it is "long non-coding RNA (NBEN_LNC004481)". Lineage: Eukaryota; Viridiplantae; Streptophyta; Magnoliopsida; Solanales; Solanaceae. The record is from RNAcentral.